AUGGGCUCGUGUCUGCAGUCAAACUUCGGCGCUAGCGUGGAGCCGUGGAGUUGUGCCGGGAGAGCGGCACUACUACAAGGUGGUGGUGUGCGCUGUGCCGGGAGCACCACUACUCAGAGUCAUGGACUGUCAGCAGGAUCAAGGCAAAAUAUCAACUCGGCAAAAAGGUAUAGUGCAAAUGUCUCCUUCCAUAAUACUCCCUCCGUCUCAUAA
This 213-nucleotide ribosomal RNA is filed under the name Triticum aestivum (bread wheat). RNAcentral's name for it is "partial small subunit ribosomal RNA". Lineage: Eukaryota; Viridiplantae; Streptophyta; Magnoliopsida; Poales; Poaceae. The record is from RNAcentral.